UAAUGUCCCCUCCAUCCGGGCAGGGGAUGUCCCGUGACUCAGAGCCCGGUUUCCUGCAGGAGUUAAUGGUGUUUGUUUUGCAGGGAAUGUCUCGCCCAGCCCUCUGAGGGCUGUGGGCACAGCCUGGCACAGGUUAGCUCAUGCUGAGCUGGAGAGGAAGUCGAGCCCUGUGAGCAUCCCCCUGUCUGUCCCACUGCUCCCAGACUGCUCCAGUGGACAUUUCAUUUGCUGUGCUGCAAUUUUAGCGUCACUUACAAUCUCCACCUGUGACACAUUCCCUCCCUGCUGCCCAGGGCAGCGCUGGGCAAGGCAGCCUGGAGCUGUUCCAGCCCCCUGACUCCCACCAGGGCCCUGGAUCAGGGAUCCCCAGGCACUGCCACCCGCUCACAGCUGGCUUUUUUCCUUUCCCAUUUCCAUUUUCUGUAAACGGGCCUUCUCCUCGGUUCUGUUCCUGUUAGAACUUGUGGAACUUGGAAUCGCAGGUGGUGUUUGCUCCGGCAAGCCUGGGCUCGGUGGGGGCCGAGGGGUUCGCUCCCCGCCGUGCAGAGCCGUGUGGGCAGCUCGGGGCACGUCCCAUCCCUCCCUUUCUCUUUCAGACAUCCCAGGGUUUCUUCUGGCUCCCCUCGAGCCGCCGGGGCGGGGGCUGGGGGAGGAAUGCGGCGUUACCGCAUUGCUGAGCGCGCCCAGGUGAGCCACACCUCAGCCCGGCUUCCACACACCGUAGCCGCAGGGACUAUAUUUAUUUUUUAUUUUUUUCCAGCUCUGUGCGUCCCCCUGCUCGGAGCUGCUGGUCCUCAGCGUGACGAGCCUGUGUCAGUCGGGGUGGGGAUGGGAGGGGGUGACACCAACACCAACGCGACAGGAGCAGACACCUGGAGUCACCUGGUGAGGCAGCGCGUUUAAAGCCUGCGAGGCUCCGCCGAGCUCAGAGGCUCUCGGGGCUGCCGGGGGGACACGGGGACAGCGCCGGCGCCGCGGGGCACAGGGCACAGGGCAGGUGAGGUUUGGGGCAGCUGCGGGUGUGUGCUGGCAGCUUUUCCUCCCCUGGGCUGUCCCACGGGGCUCCUUUCCCUGCAGGAGACACUCACGGGAGGUUUUGAUGGAUUUCUCGUUUUCCUGGCACGAGGCGAGUUUGGAUGCGGGAUUGAGCCUGAAAGAGCAGGGCGAGGGUGGGGCUGGAGCACGGGGAAGGGGUGGCUGGGGCUGGACGGGCUGUGCGUGCUCCCUCCAUCCCUUCCCUUCCAGCCCCGCAUUUCCUCCUGGCAGCAGCGGGGCUGGGGCAGGGGCUCGUUGCCUCACAGGCAAAUUCAGUUUGAGCAUCUGAUUUUCCUCUUCAUUAUUCUUGAUUUUCCCCCCAUGUUAUUCCGUGUAGAUUAAUUAAAAGUACCUCCCUGCAAAGUGAGAAGGAAGGAGGACCUGGACUGAGCCUUUGAACCG
Molecule: long non-coding RNA, 1437 nt
Filed under: Ficedula albicollis (Collared flycatcher)
Lineage: Eukaryota; Metazoa; Chordata; Aves; Passeriformes; Muscicapidae
Description: lncRNA (ENSFALG00000027204.1)
Source: RNAcentral